This 503-nucleotide ribosomal RNA is filed under the name uncultured bacterium. Its description in RNAcentral is "bacterial SSU rRNA". It matches the Rfam family "Bacterial small subunit ribosomal RNA", at positions 15 to 518 of the family's 1533-position model. The record is from RNAcentral.
GAUCCUGGCUUAGGAUGAACGCUAGCUACAGGCUUAACACAUGCAAGUCGAGGGUAGCAGGGUAGCAAUACCGCUGACGACCGGCGCACGGGUGAGUAACACGUAUCCAACCUCCCAUAACUCAGGGAUAGCCUUUCGAAAGAAAGAUUAAUACCUGAUAGUACUUUUUCAAGGCAUCUUGAGAAAGUUAAAGAUUUAUGGUUAUGGAUGGGGAUGCGUUCCAUUAGAUAGUUGGUGAGGUAACGGCUCACCAAGUCUUCGAUGGAUAGGGGUUCUGAGAGGAAGGUCCCCCACAUUGGUACUGAGACACGGACCAAACUCCUACGGGAGGCAGCAGUGAGGAAUAUUGGUCAAUGGGCGAGAGCCUGAACCAGCCAAGUAGCGUGAAGGAUGAAGGUCCUAUGGAUUGUAAACUUCUUUUAUAGUAGAAUAAAGUGAUCCACGUGUGGAUUUUUGUAUGUAUACUAUGAAUAAGGAUCGGCUAACUCCGUGCCAGCCGCAGC